This 488-nucleotide ribosomal RNA is filed under the name Lithobius crassipes. RNAcentral's name for it is "partial large subunit ribosomal RNA". It matches the Rfam family "Bacterial large subunit ribosomal RNA", at positions 1829 to 2588 of the family's 2925-position model. Lineage: Eukaryota; Metazoa; Arthropoda; Chilopoda; Lithobiomorpha; Lithobiidae. The record is from RNAcentral.
UGUUUUUUGUCAUUUUAUAAAGAAUAAGAUCUGCCCUAUGAUUCAUUAAAUGGCCGCAGUAUCUUGACUGUGCGAAGGUAGCAUAAUCAAUUGUCUUUUAAUUGGAGUCUGGAAUGAAUGAUUUAAUGAAAGAUAAUCUGUUUUUUAGGAAAAUUUGAAUUUUUAUGUUAGGUGAAGAUACUUAAAUGUAAAUAAAAGACGAGAAGACCCCAUAAAGUUUUAUAGGAAAUGUAUAUCUUAAGAAAAAUGACUUAUUUAUUACUAUUUGGUUGGGGCAAUUAUGAGACAGUAAAAAUUUUCUUUAAGGUAAAUAUUGAUGAAUAAAUUGAUUAAUGAUCCAAUUAUUUGAUUACAAGAAUAAAUUACUUUGGGGAUAACAGCGUAAUUUUCUUAUAGAGUUCUUAUCGAUGAGAAAGAUUGCGACCUCGAUGUUGGAUUAGGAUUUCUGUUUAGUGUAGCCGCUGAACAAGAUAGUCUGGUUCGACUAU